RNAcentral lists this ribosomal RNA (253 nucleotides) under uncultured bacterium. RNAcentral describes it as "partial 16S ribosomal RNA". It matches the Rfam family "Bacterial small subunit ribosomal RNA", at positions 524 to 776 of the family's 1533-position model. The record is from RNAcentral.
UACGAAGGGGGCUAGCGUUGCUCGGAAUUACUGGGCGUAAAGGGUGCGUAGGCGGCUUUUUAAGUUUGGUGUGAAAUCUCCUGGCUCAACUGGGAGGGUGCGCCGAAUACUGAGAAGCUAGAGUGUGGGAGAGGAAAGUGGAAUUCCUGGUGUAGCGGUGAAGUGCGUAGAUAUCAGGAGGAACACCGGUGGUGUAAACGGCUUUCUGGACCAUAACUGACGCUGAGGCACGAAAGCGUGGGUAGCAAACAGG